GCAGAAGGAUCAUUAGUGAAAGUUUCGGGCCUGCCAUACGGACGCAAACACGUCUCUGGCGCCCAUCACUAUAUCCAUACCAACCCCUGUGCACUGUGAUGACGAAUGUCAUCGAACAAAAAAACUCGUAUGGUUGAAUGUACGUGAAAUUGUAGGUAUAGCCUACGAACUAUACACAACUUUCGACAACGGAUCUCUUGGUUCUCCCA
Molecule: unclassified non-coding RNA, 209 nt
Filed under: uncultured fungus
Lineage: Eukaryota; Fungi
Description: partial contains 18S rRNA, ITS1, 5.8S rRNA
Source: RNAcentral